Molecule: long non-coding RNA, 250 nt
Filed under: Lathyrus oleraceus (garden pea)
Lineage: Eukaryota; Viridiplantae; Streptophyta; Magnoliopsida; Fabales; Fabaceae
Description: Pisum sativum (pea) long non-coding RNA (PSAT_LNC010232)
Source: RNAcentral
AUAAAAGCAAUUACUUAGAUGAUGCAAAAUAAUAGGAAUAUCAACGGCAGUCCAAUUGUUGCAUGUCCCUCCAUGCGUUACAAAGUUGGUGCGGUCUUCCUCUUCACUAUCCUCUAGCACAACAGCUAAGUUUUGUUCAUUGCCAUGAAUGAACCCUCCGCUACGGAAUUUGAGUUGCAUAUCUUCAGAUCUAAUAGCUGACGAGCCUCUCUGGAACCCCAAAUCGGUUCUGCCCUUGUUGUCGGAGAUC